AACACAUGCAAGUCGAGCGGUAGCACAGAGAGCUUGCUCUCGGGUGACGAGCGGCGGACGGGUGAGUAAUGUCUGGGAAACUGCCUGAUGGAGGGGGAUAACUACUGGAAACGGUAGCUAAUACCGCAUAAUGUCGCAAGACCAAAGUGGGGGACCUUCGGGCCUCAUGCCAUCAGAUGUGCCCAGAUGGGAUUAGCUUGUAGGUGGGGUAACGGCUCACCUAGGCGACGAUCCCUAGCUGGUCUGAGAGGAUGACCAGCCACACUGGAACUGAGACACGGUCCAGACUCCUACGGGAGGCAGCAGUGGGGAAUAUUGCACAAUGGGCGCAAGCCUGAUGCAGCCAUGCCGCGUGUGUGAAGAAGGCCUUCGGGUUGUAAAGCACUUUCAGCGGGGAGGAAGGCGGUGAGGUUAAUAACCUCAUCGAUUGACGUUACCCGCAGAAGAAGCACCGGCUAACUCCGUGCCAGCAGCCGCGGUAAUACGGAGGGUGCAAGCGUUAAUCGGAAUUACUGGGCGUAAAGCGCACGCAGGCGGUCUGUCAAGUCGGAUGUGAAAUCCCCGGGCUCAACCUGGGAACUGCAUUCGAAACUGGCAGGCUAGAGUCUUGUAGAGGGGGGU
This 621-nucleotide ribosomal RNA is filed under the name Klebsiella pneumoniae subsp. pneumoniae. Its description in RNAcentral is "bacterial SSU rRNA". It matches the Rfam family "Bacterial small subunit ribosomal RNA", at positions 50 to 662 of the family's 1533-position model. Lineage: Bacteria; Pseudomonadati; Pseudomonadota; Gammaproteobacteria; Enterobacterales; Enterobacteriaceae. The record is from RNAcentral.